RNAcentral lists this ribosomal RNA (911 nucleotides) under Sporobolomyces johnsonii. RNAcentral describes it as "LSU rRNA". It matches the Rfam family "Eukaryotic large subunit ribosomal RNA", at positions 37 to 964 of the family's 3401-position model. Lineage: Eukaryota; Fungi; Basidiomycota; Microbotryomycetes; Sporidiobolales; Sporidiobolaceae. The record is from RNAcentral.
AGCAUAUCAAUAAGCGGAGGAAAAGAAACUAACAAGGAUUCCCCUAGUAGCGGCGAGCGAAGCGGGAAAAGCUCAAAUUUGUAAUCUGGCGCUUUCGGCGUCCGAGUUGUAAUCUCGAGAAGUGUUUUCCGCGUCAGACCGCACACAAGUCUCCUGGAACGGAGCGUCAUAGUGGUGAGAACCCAGUACACGGUGCGGAUGCCUGAUGCUUUGUGAUACACUUUCGAAGAGUCGAGUUGUUUGGGAAUGCAGCUCAAAUUGGGUGGUAAAUUCCAUCUAAAGCUAAAUAUUGGCGAGAGACCGAUAGCGAACAAGUACCGUGAGGGAAAGAUGAAAAGCACUUUGGAAAGAGAGUUAACAGUACGUGAAAUUGUUGGAAGGGAAACGCUUGAAGUCAGACUUGCUAUUCGGAGCUUGCUUCGAUUCGCAGGCCCGCAUCAGUUUUUCGGGGCGGAAAAUCGUAGAGAGAAGGUAGCAGUUUCGGCUGUGUUAUAGCUUUCUACUGGAUUCGUCCUGGGGGACUGAGGAACGCAGCGUGCUUUUUGCAUGGGCUUCGGCCUAUCCACGCUUAGGAUGCGGGUGGAAUGGCUUUAAACGACCCGUCUUGAAACACGGACCAAGGAGUCUAACAUGCUUGCGAGUAUUUGGGUGUCAAACCCGGAUGCGCAAUGAAAGUGAAUGGAGGUGGGAAGCGCAAGCUGCACCAUCGACCGAUCUGGAUUUUCUAAGAUGGAUUUGAGUAAGAGCAAGUAUGUUGGGACCCGAAAGAUGGUGAACUAUGCCUGAAUAGGGUGAAGCCAGAGGAAACUCUGGUGGAGGCUCGUAGCGGUUCUGACGUGCAAAUCGAUCGUCAAAUUUGGGUAUAGGGGGCGAAAGACUAAUCGAACCAUCUAGUAGCUGGUUCCUGCCGA